Long non-coding RNA from Gallus gallus (chicken), 2224 nucleotides. Lineage: Eukaryota; Metazoa; Chordata; Aves; Galliformes; Phasianidae. The record is from Ensembl.
UUUGUGUGUCAUUGAAACUGAGAUUGCUGCACAGGAUCUUGGUUUUGUACCAAUCAAAGAAGCCAAAAAUACACUUUGUAUUUAAAAGACAUGUUCUAUAAUCACUCAUUUGUCCCAUUAAGGGAAAAUUUGCAAAAGUUCCUUGGUGCUUUAGCAAUCUCUGCCAAGAAAGUAAUUAAAAAAAAAAAUCUCGUAAGAUAUUUACUUCAAUGCUUCAUCACCAACACAUCAUUAUGCAGGAAAAUGCCAAAAGUAAUCGCUGCCGGUUGCUGUUGCAGUGUGAAAAGGAGCACUAAAAUUACACUGUGCUCCCACUCCAUUUGCAGCUCAGAUUUGCACAGGUUCUUGAACCAGGCACUUUUAAGGCUCCUUUCUUCCUGCCGGAACUCCUACUUGCAGCUAUUGACAUUUAUUUCCUUAUUUUUUGCCUGAUCUAUUGGAAACAACUACACUAUCAAAUCAAUAAGACAUAUGGUACCCAUUUAAAUACUAAUUAAGUUGUACAUGUAAUAAUUCCUCCAGGACUUCAGAGCUGCAUCUUUUGAAAUGGUAGCUGCUAAGAAGGCGUAGUGGUCAGAGUGCUGCAAAAAUAAGAAUAAGAACAAGAGACUGAGAUGCAUCACCUCCUGUUGUCAGUGGUCAGUUGUGAUCACUGGCAUUCAUAGACUGUUCUUUCCUCCCUUGAUAUUAACAUACUUUCCUGGGCUUGGGAAAUCCUCUUGGAAUUGAGGAAGCCCUGGAAUCUCCUUGCCCAGCAGUGUGCUCGCUGCCAUGGACCCAGAGGUGGGAGCUGGGGGGUCACACGUGGAGCAGCGGGGUGCUGGGGUCCUCCCAUUCCUUCCCAGCAUUGAAACCCCCAGGAUCCAUCUGUGGAGGAUGAGUUGCUCAGUCUGCGUGAACGGGAGAGCUCUGCCCUGUUUCCCGCAGCUGCUUUGGAUGUUGUGCCUCUCAGUUCUGGGGCAGAAGAGCACAAGGCAGUGCUCAGGAUUGCAGUGGGCUGAAGAAGGGGAGUGCAGAGAGGAGGCAUACAGCUCUGGAUUAGAAAAGCACCAAGGAGCUUCAGCUGAGCAGGACUGCCUUAAGGUGAAGGAGCACUUGCAGGCUACAGAAGGAGCAAACCGGAGGCAUCUGGGCUGGUCAUUUUCUUAAACUUUCUGCCUGUCCGCUCUUCUCAUUCUCACCAGCACCAGACAAGUGGUACCCAGGAGAGAGCUGAAGUCAGAGUUUCAGAGAAGGCUGGGCUGCAGACCAUAUAAAUAUUGCAUCAGCUCAAUUCAGUAAGAGGCUGCUGAGCUGAAUCACAUCACCAGUAAUGCAAAAAGUACCACACCACAUCAAAUCAGGUGUUGUGGUUUUGCAAGCAAACACAUCAGCCAACAAACAUCAGGGACUGUGCACAGCUGGGCUCACCCAGCCUGCUCAGCUCAGCGCCUUGGUGCAGCAUGGAGCAGUGCUGGAUGGAGCUUGGAGCCUCUGGCUGACCAUAGUGCUCAGGAAUUACUGCAGACAGCAAAAGCUGUGGUGCUCAAUCCACAUCUUCCUUAUGUCACUGCAGUACCAAACAACCCCACUGGUUUCAGCAAGGUCACACUUAUUUUCUCCCCGUGUGGUGUCCAUCAGAGCUCUGUUGGUCACUAAUUCCAAGUGCCACACUCACUCUGCAUGUGCAUGUGGGCUUCUUAGAAGAGCCAAUUAUUUAUCUGUUUCUGCUGAAAUACUGAAAGUAUCUGGUAUAAGGUAGGCACUAAGAAACUUCCAAACUGAAGUUAAAAUUGGUCUUAGUUAUGACAAAUUCAAGUAGAAGAGUUGUAAUUAUUUGCUAGGUUCAGCUAUGGGAGUCACUGUGCACACAUACCUGGAUGUCAAAGAAAAUGAUGCUUUCCUGCAUAUUGGCCUUGCUCCUGCAAAAAUGCUCCUCAGAAGCUCUGGGCAGAGGAUAGGAAUGAGGAACAGCACUUAAUGCCAUUAUGAAGACUAUCUGCCUGUGGGAUUAGCGCAGUGCAAACCCAGAGAGAAGCUCAGGUUUGUUUUGUGGGUCUUCUACAGCACAGAGGUAAGCCUUAGGAAUGCAGGAACUGAGGUGUCAGUGUGAUAGCAUCACUCUGAGUCAGCAUAAAGAACUACGUAAUUAAUUGUUUGAAACAUUCUUGGUUGUGCCUGGUGGUUUUUCCUGUCAAGGUAUUUCUGCUUGAAUAUCAGCAGCUAUGCUGAAAUGUAAAGGAGA